CCUACGGGUGGCUGCAGUGGGGAAUCUUGCGCAAUGGGCGGAAGCCUGACGCAGCAACGCCGCGUGGGGGAUGACGGCCUUCGGGUUGUAAACCUCUUUCGCGAUCGACGAAGCCGCGCUCUUUGUAGGGGUGUGGUGACGGUAGGUCGAGAAGAAGCACCGGCCAACUACGUGCCAGCAGCCGCGGUAAUACGUAGGGUGCGAGCGUUGUCCGGAAUUAUUGGGCGUAAAGAGCUCGUAGGCGGUGUGUCGCGUCGGCCGUGAAAACCUGGGGC
This 275-nucleotide ribosomal RNA is filed under the name uncultured Actinomycetospora sp. RNAcentral's name for it is "partial 16S ribosomal RNA". It matches the Rfam family "Bacterial small subunit ribosomal RNA", at positions 338 to 608 of the family's 1533-position model. Lineage: Bacteria; Bacillati; Actinomycetota; Actinomycetes; Pseudonocardiales; Pseudonocardiaceae. The record is from RNAcentral.